GAUGAACGCUGGCGGCGUGCCUAAUACAUGCAAGUCGAGCGAACGGACGAGAAGCUUGCUUCUCUGAUGUUAGCGGCGGACGGGUGAGUAACACGUGGAUAACCUACCUAUAAGACUGGGAUAACUUCGGGAAACCGGAGCUAAUACCGGAUGAUAUUUUGAACCGCAUGGUGCAAAAGUGAAAGACGGUCUUUCUGUCUCUUAUAGAUGGAUCCGCGCUGCAUUAGCUAGUUGUUAAGGUAACGGCUUACCAAGGCAACGAUGCAUAGCCGACCUGGGAGGGUGAUCGCCCACCCUGGAACUUAACCACGGUCCAGACUCCUACGGGAGGCCGCAGUAGGGAAUCUUCCGCAAUGGGCGAAAGCCUUACGGAGCAACGCCGCGUGAGUGAUGAAGGUCUUCGGAUCGUAAAACUCUGUUAUUAGGGAAGAACAUAUGUGUAAGUAACUGUGCACAUCAUGACGGUACCUAAUCAGAAAGCCACGGCUAACUACGUG
RNAcentral lists this ribosomal RNA (497 nucleotides) under uncultured bacterium. Its description in RNAcentral is "partial 16S ribosomal RNA". It matches the Rfam family "Bacterial small subunit ribosomal RNA", at positions 28 to 507 of the family's 1533-position model. The record is from RNAcentral.